GUGAUUUUUAGCAGUUGAGUUGUGUGUUACUGCAACACAGUUUAAUUUUUUCAAAACAAUGCAUUACUUUGUGGGUGUUGAUGUUGGCACUGGAAGUGUCCGAGCUGCUCUAGUUGAUUCGCUGGGUAAAAUUUUAGAGACUGUUGUAGAACCGACAGUGAAAUAUAAUCCUCAAGCAUCGUGUUAUCAACAAUCAUCUGAUAAUGUAUGGGCUUCAAUUUGUCAUGUGGUUGAGAAAGUUGUGGCUGGUGUUCCAAAAAGUUCGAUAAAAGGAAUUGGAACUCUUUCUUGGCUCCUAAAAAUUUAAUUAUUCAAUCAAACCCAAAUCCAGUUACCCAAUUAACAUCAACAUCAAGAGUUAUAUAUCAACAACUACCAUCUGCGCACUACAUUUCAUCGAAUCAAUCAGUAUCAAAUUUGUCUGUAUCAACUUCAUUAAUGAAUUCAUCACCUGCUUUAUCAACAACAUCAAUAAUGACAAAUGAAACAAGAGCUCUACCAAAAGUGUUGCUUGUGUCGAACAAUGUAUCAAGAAUAUAAACUGCACCAUCUACUUCUUCAUCAAGCACACCAUCAUCAAUACUGUCAAGGACACUAAAUGUAUCUCCAUUAAUCUCCUCGAUGAAUAAAUCAAAUUUGAUUCAAGUUUCAUCGUACAAUCAAAUAAAUGAAGCUGAUGAAAGAAACCAAUUCAUUGUCAGAGCUUCUGAUAUAAUUCAAAUGAAUGGAGAAAAAAACAUAAUGGGUGUCCCGUAUUGCAAUAUUAAGGGCAAAGCUCGCUUGUGCCACCUUGUCAGAAGAAAGACGUGCGCAGCUGUAGCUUUAGGUGUUCCAGGUGUUGUAGAAAGCAUGAAAGUUUCAACACAAUCUAAUUCUGAAAGAUCGGCAAGGUAUGCUUUUGAAUAA
Molecule: long non-coding RNA, 906 nt
Organism: Trichogramma pretiosum
Lineage: Eukaryota; Metazoa; Arthropoda; Insecta; Hymenoptera; Trichogrammatidae
Exons: 3
Source: RefSeq, a predicted model, not a curated record